This 500-nucleotide ribosomal RNA is filed under the name uncultured microorganism. Its description in RNAcentral is "bacterial SSU rRNA". It matches the Rfam family "Bacterial small subunit ribosomal RNA", at positions 9 to 524 of the family's 1533-position model. The record is from RNAcentral.
GAGUUUGAUCAUGGCUCAGGAUGAACGCUAGCGGCAGGCUUAACACAUGCAAGUCGAGGGGCAGCACGAGGUAGCAAUACUUUGGUGGCGACCGGCGCACGGGUGCGUAACGCGUAUGCAACCUACCUUUAACAGGGGCAUAACACUGAGAAAUUGGUACUAAUUCCCCAUAACAUUCGAGAAGGCAUCUUCUUGGGUUAAAAACUCCGGUGGUUAUAGAUGGACAUGCGUUGUAUUAGCUAGUUGGUGAGGUAACGGCUCACCAAGGCGACGAUCAGUAGCCGGCCUGGGAGGGUGAACGGCCACAUUGGGACUGAGACACGGCCCAAACUCCUACGGGAGGCAGCAGUGGGGAAUAUUGCACAAUGGGGGAAACCCUGAUGCAGCAACGCCGCGUGAGUGAAGAAGUAUUUCGGUAUGUAAAGCUCUAUCAGCAGGAAAGAAAUGACGGUACCUGACUAAGAAGCCCCGGCUAACUACGUGCCAGCCGCCGCAGUAAC